GACUCCAGAUGAGCUGGAGAUGGAAGAUGGUGAUGAAAUUGAUGCGAUGUUGCAUCAAACCGGAGGCACAACUAUUUGAGUCUCCUUUUCUUUUGUUUCUGUGGAUGCAAGACUUUGUGUUUCAAGAUGGUAUUGAACUUAGUGAAAUGCUGGUUGUGUGCAGCUUUAGGACCUUUAGACUCUGAUGAAUGGGAUCAUGUUUUGCUUACUUCAUAUUGAACUUAAUCGCUAAUAUUACUUUUUGAAAGUCAUUAUGUUCUUCAUUUUUAAUUUUCUGAAGAUGACAUGAAUAUGAUCAUAGUUUGGUCAUUACGUCGAGUUUAACAUCUGCCUAUGGUCUCUAUCUUAAUGUUUUCGUCAUGAUGUAAUGGUUAAGUGCAUGUUGGGAG
Molecule: unclassified non-coding RNA, 389 nt
Filed under: Hevea brasiliensis (rubber tree)
Lineage: Eukaryota; Viridiplantae; Streptophyta; Magnoliopsida; Malpighiales; Euphorbiaceae
Source: RNAcentral